Molecule: ribosomal RNA, 422 nt
Filed under: uncultured bacterium
Lineage: Bacteria
Description: bacterial SSU rRNA
Rfam family: Bacterial small subunit ribosomal RNA
Source: RNAcentral
UGAGGAAUAUUGGGCAAUGCCCGCAAGGGUGACCCAGCAACGCCGCGUGGAGGAUGAAUGUCGUAAGAUUGUAAACUCCUGUUAGAGGGGAAGAAUAGUACCGGUUGGACCGGUAUAUGACUGUACCCUCAGAGAAAGCCCCGGCUAACUACGUGCCAGCAGCCGCGGUAAUACGUAGGGGGCAAGCGUUGUCCGGAUUUACUGGGUGUAAAGGGCGCGCAGGCGGGAUAAAAAGUCAGUGGUGAAAUCCUACAGCUUAACUGUAGAACUGCCUUCGAUACUUUUAUGCUUGAGUUCGGGAGAGAGAGACGGAAUUCCAGGUGUAGUGGUGAAAUACGUAGAUAUCUGGAAGAACACCAGUUGCGAAGGCGGUCUCUUGGUCCGACACUGACGCUGAGGCGCGAAAGCGUGGGGAGCAAACA